RNAcentral lists this ribosomal RNA (433 nucleotides) under uncultured bacterium. RNAcentral describes it as "partial 16S ribosomal RNA". It matches the Rfam family "Bacterial small subunit ribosomal RNA", at positions 29 to 507 of the family's 1533-position model. The record is from RNAcentral.
AACGAACGCUGGCGGCAUGCCUAACACAUGCAAGUCGAACGAGACCUCCGGGUCUAGUGGCGCACGGGUGCGUAACGCGUGGGAACCUGCCCUUAGGUUCGGAAUAACUCCCCGAAAGGGGUGCUAAUACCGGAUAAUGUCCUCGGACCAAAGAUUUAUCGCCUUUGGAUGGGCCCGCGUUGGAUUAGCUAGUUGGUAGGGUAAAAGCCUACCAAGGCGACGAUCCAUAGCUGGUCUGAGAGGAAGAUCAGCCACACUGGGACUGAGACACGGCCCGGAAUCCUACGGGAGGCAGCAGUGGGGAAUAUUGGACAAUGGGCGAAAGCCUGAUCCAGCAAUGCCGCGUGAGUGAUGAAGGCCUUAGGGUUGUAAAGCUCUUUUACCCGGGAUGAUAAUGACAGUACCGGGAGAAUAAGCUCCGGCUAACUCCGUG